This 407-nucleotide long non-coding RNA is filed under the name Homo sapiens (human). RNAcentral's name for it is "non-protein coding lnc-F7-6:1". Lineage: Eukaryota; Metazoa; Chordata; Mammalia; Primates; Hominidae. The record is from RNAcentral.
UUCGAGUGAUCCACCCACCUUGGCCUCCAAAGUGCUGGGAUUACAGAUGUGAGCCAUCGUGCCCGCCUGUGCCUUCCUUUUAAAGGCUUCCUGGCCCCUGUGAUGUAAGCGGACCUGGUGUGCUCACUUGGGCUGGCCCCCGUGACGUGAGUGGACCCCGUGAUGUGAGUGGACCCUGUGAUGUGAGUGGCCCCCGUGAUGUGAGUGGCCCCCGUGACAUUAGUGGACCCCGUGGCGUGAGUGGCCCCCAUGACGUGAGUGGCCCCUGUGACAUUAGUGGACCCCGUGGCAUGAGUGGCUGCCAUGACGUGAGUGGCCCCCGUGAUGUGAGUGGCCCCCGUGACGUGAGUGGCCCCCGUGACGUGAGUGGCCCCCGUGAUGUGAGUGGACCCCGUGGCGUGAGUGGC